CGUGAAAUUGUUGAAAGGGAAGCGCUCGCUACCAGACUUGGGUUCGGCGGUUCAACCGGGGCCACGCCCCGGGGCACUCCGCCGUCCCAGGCCAGCAUCAGCUUUCCGUCGGGGGCAAAGACGUCGGGAAUGUGGCUCCCCUCCGGGGGAGUGUUAUAGCCCGGCGUGUCAUACCCUUCGGGGGGCUGAGGUACGCGCUUCUGCAAGGAUGCUGGC
This 216-nucleotide ribosomal RNA is filed under the name Gibellulopsis nigrescens. Its description in RNAcentral is "partial large subunit ribosomal RNA". Lineage: Eukaryota; Fungi; Ascomycota; Sordariomycetes; Glomerellales; Plectosphaerellaceae. The record is from RNAcentral.